This 253-nucleotide ribosomal RNA is filed under the name uncultured bacterium. Its description in RNAcentral is "partial 16S ribosomal RNA". It matches the Rfam family "Bacterial small subunit ribosomal RNA", at positions 1247 to 1500 of the family's 1533-position model. The record is from RNAcentral.
AUGCAAAGCUGUGAAGUGGAGCGAACCCCUAAAAGCCGUCCCAGUUCAGAUUGCAGUCUGCAACUCGACUGCAUGAAGUCGGAAUCGCUAGUAAUCGCGGAUCAGCAUGCCGCGGUGAAUACGUUCCCGGGCCUUGUACACACCGCCCGUCACACCAUGAGAGUCGGGAACACCCGAAGUCCGUAGCCUAACCGCAAGGGGGGCGCGGCCGAAGGUGGGUUCGAUAAUUGGGGUGAAGUCGUAACAAGGUACC